CCUGGCCUUGACAUACUAAAAAGCUUUAAGAGAUUAGAGUGUGCUAGCUUGCUAGAAUUUAGAUACAGGUGCUGCACGGCUGUCGUCAGCUCGUGUCGUGAGAUGUUGGGUUAAGUCCCGCAACGAGCGCAACCCUCGUGUUUAGUUGCUAACAGUUCGGCUGAGAACUCUAAACAGACUGCCUACGCAAGUAGGAGGAAGGUGAGGACGACGUCAAGUCAUCAUGGCCCUUACGGCCAGGGCUACACACGUGCUACAAUGGGGUAUACAAAGAGCAGCGAUACGGUGACGUGGAGCAAAUCUAGAAAAUGCCUCUCAGUUCGGAUUGAAGUCUGCAACUCGACUUCAUGAAGCUGGAAUCGCUAGUAAUCGCAGAUCAGCCAAGCUGCGGUGAAUACGUUCCCGGGCCUU
Molecule: ribosomal RNA, 411 nt
Filed under: uncultured Arcobacter sp.
Lineage: Bacteria; Pseudomonadati; Campylobacterota; Epsilonproteobacteria; Campylobacterales; Arcobacteraceae
Description: bacterial SSU rRNA
Rfam family: Bacterial small subunit ribosomal RNA
Source: RNAcentral